CUCGCGUCCACCCGCUGGCUGGGGGGCCAGCGGGACCGGAGGGUGGGGAGGGGCGCGGGCCGCCGGGCUGGCCACGCCGGGGCCUCGGCCCGGAGUCCACAAGCUCAGGCUCCCGGGGACCCGACUCAUGAAGGCGGAAACUGGGACGCAGAGAGGGGAACUGGCCAAGGUCACACGGGAGCUCGCGGCCGGCGUGGGUAAGAACCCCGGCCUCCGGGCCGAGCUUGCCCGGAGCCUCCCACAGCCAUUAGCGGUUUGUGUUUUGAAAGCACCAGGGGAGCUCCCGUUCUGCAUUUGUUCCGGAGAAUUGCCAAGCUCGAGGGAAGGCGACUCUUGCUGAUGUCUAACUGACAUCGCCCCGCCUGCACCCUGCGGCAUGGUAAAGUUCAUCUCUCCGUGGAUUCCCCAGCCCAGACGGGCCCUCCCUUCUGCUGGACCACGAGGGCUCCAGGGACCUUUAUGACCUACAGGCGACCCCAUUGGCUCACACUUUGCUUGUUGUUGCCGUGGGGGCAGAGGGUCAGUGUGGGAGGCCUGAGCUGCUCAGGAGAGAUGAGGGAACGAAGGGGCCACUCAGCUUGGACACCUGGGUAGGGGCUGGGGGCUGGGUGGGCGGGGCAGCGGGCCAGGAGUGCAGUGCCUUUAUAUGGACGUAAAGGACAGGGGAACCCUGGGGACGUUAACCUCAGGGCAGUGAUGGAGGAGGCCCUGGUGGGGGAAGUCCGUUCUCUUUCCACCCGUCUCCCCGCUCUGAGCCCAGGCACCUUCUCCCUGCCCCCCAGCUCCCAACAUUGGGGCCAUUCACAGGGCCCCUCACCAGCUGCCCUCCCUUCCCUCGCUCGGACCAGCUCGCUCCCCUGGAAAGAGCCCAAGAGGAGGACCCAGCUGCAGCUCCAGAUGUGGAGGGAGCUCUGGGGGGGAGGGGAAGACGGGGGUCUGACUCCAGGUGUCUUGCAUCACCCUCGGAUGAUGAAAGCAUGUCAGAGAUUCUGGCAAGGAUGUGGGUUAGGGUCUGAGGAGGCAUCUGUGGCUCCUCCUCCCCUUCCCUCCCCCGCCCAGCACCCCAUCCAGCAGCUCACAUCCCUGUUUGGUUUGACCUAUUAAGGUCAGACCAAAACCAAAGAUAAUUCCAAGGGCAAAUUUCAAGAGCAAAUUUCAAGGGCAAAUGAACGCCCUCCUGCCAUCCUGAUGGGGGAGACAGGUGCCCCCAGGGCGAAGGAGGGGAGGAAGGAGGUCCUGGUGGGAUCCUGCACCUAUUAUUAGCAUUUGAACCCUAGAGGACGCUCUCUCUGGGGCCAGAGGUCAGGAGGCCAGCAGAGUGUUGAGGAGUCAGCUUUUGGGUACUCUCUCCCCAUUUACCAACCAAAAUAAAACAUUGAGGAGGAGACUGACAUUGAUGGACCCUCUGCAUGAACAAGGCUCUUUAUAUGCAUAUCCUCAUUUCUUUCGCAUCGCCUUUUGAGCCCGACUCUAGUAGUCUUUAUAGUUUUGCAGAUGGGGACACUGGGCUCACCCAGCAUAUAGGUAACAGACCUAGGAUUUGAACUCGUGCACCUGGUCCCAGACUCCACACAUUGUGUCCAAGCUGCAGCCCAGGGGGAAGGGAGCUGGGCCGGCGCCGGCUUCUGCUCCAGGUUCAGCCCUUCCGCAUGAUAAUGCUGCAUUUUGCAGAGCUGCUCCCCCUCCUGCCAGACUCUGGACUUCUCUGGGGCCCAACUCUGUUUUCCUGCCUUCAGGAGGUCCCCUCUGACUUCCGAGAGUAGGUGACCCUUCUGACUCACAGCCUCACUGCUGGGAAAUGGCGCCAGAGCUGCUGGCCCAGCCCCUGCCUCCGCGCCACAGGGUGUCAAGCCCGGAGAAGCAGGGAGGCCCGUGGGCUGGAAGCUCAGGCCUCCUAGAGCUCAGGGCCUCAGACAGCUAUGCCAGCCACCGCAGCAGCUCCGUCCUGGGCCACCAGGGAGCAGCAGGGCAGCUGGGUGUCCAGACCCUGACUCCUGGGUGCUGCUGCCCAGAGGGGAGGAGGUGAUGGGCAUGAAGGUCAGAUGGGGCUCCAAGUGGGAGGGCUUAAACCGCAGCUCCAGGGGACUUAGGGUAGCUGGUCAGAGGAAGCCCAGGGUGACCCCUUCAGUCUCUGUCCAGCUCCAACAGGGCCACCGCUUCCUCUCUGUGGUUUGUUCUCUCUCCCAUCCCCCCUCCCUCCUCCCAGCUGCCCUUCUGCUUUCCUGCCCUCGUUCCCAAACCUGCAGUUUCUCCCGAUCAGCUGCCUCUAUGCGACUCUCCCCCAACCCCGACCCUUUCCUCUCUGCCUGAAACAGGCAAACGCACACACACACGCAGCACAUGCAGACACAUACACACACGCACACAGAUCCACAUCCACAGACAUGUGCGUGUAAACACAUUCCCCCGUGUUUGGCCCUGAGCCCCCUGAUUGGACUGGAGUUUGAGCCCCAGCCCUUGUGCUCAGCUGAGGCCCUUCCCCCAGGCACGUUGGGGCCUCCAUCAUCUCUCCUGACGGGAGCCGUGGGCGUCUGGGCAGAUGGGAACCUGGAGGAGGUGCAGGGGCCUCUCCAAGGCCGGAAGCUCUCACGGCCCUGUGGUUAGAAUACUCCAGCAGUGACUUGGGGCAACCAUCUGAGGUCUCUCAGGCACAGCCUAGCUCUCGACAGCAACACUAUGGUGACAAACCAGACACCUAGGAGACACCCUCAGGCCUAGAAGUGUCUCCAGAGGGGCCAAGACUUGAGUCCCCUUCCCUUUUAUCUCCUUUGAGGUUGGCACCAGCCAUUGGCAUUUGCUGAAAGCUCUGGGGUGGACAGUCCAGAGUUCUGGACCUCCAGUCCUAGCCCCCAGCCCACCCCAGCAGCCAUGCUCCGUUCGUCGGGAGAACAGGCAGGCGUUCACCCAUCCUGCCAGCGGAUGGUCAGGGUCCCCCGUGGACGGAGCCCACUUCCGCCUAGCACCAGCAGCUCUGGACCCCACAGAGGGUCUGUCAGGGUGCAGACUCAGAGAUCUGAGCUCGGGUGCGGGCUUGGCCUGACUUCCUCUGUUACAGAGAGAGACAGACAGCCGUAGAGGAAACCAGAAUUUGUUAUAAAUAGCUGGGAGGAGAGAGAGCGGCUGUGGAUGACAAACACCCCGUCAGUCUUCACAAAAAACAAACAAGCUAUUUUUGGUUUCCAGCGUUACUGAGGAUUUAAUUAAUGCUCCGUAUACCCUCAAACAUGGGCUUUUCACCCACACCUCUACCCUGCAGUGACGUCUGACAGUCCUGGGACAUGAGGCAGGAGCAGGUGCGGGCUGUCCCCCAUGUCCCGGAAUCCGGGAGUCGGAGAGAACCCUAAGAUCAUCUUGCUCCACAGCUCCAUUUUCAGAAGAGGAAAUGGGCUCAGAGGUCACUUAGCCGGUGCAGGGGUCACUAAUGCCACUGACCAGGCGUUUCCGGCUCUCAGCCUCUGACAGGGCAGGACUGCCUGUCCUUGCUCUGAUGCCUGUGGCCACGGGACUUCUCUGACCAAUGAAACGUGGGCAAAAUGGACGCGUAUCACUUCUCGUGGAAGCUUUACGAGCCACUGGCCCCCCACAGUUUCAUGUUGUUUGUAGAGCGUGAGAAAUAAACUUCUAUCAUGUGAAGUCACUGAAGUUACGGGCUUAUCUGUGACCUUGGCGUGGCCCGCCCUACCUAACGGACGUAGUUGGUAAGGGGCAGGGCCAGGAUUCAGAGCUCUGGUCUGUAAAGAUGCCCAAGGGCCUCCCAGGACUCUCCCUGUCUGUCCAGUGUCUCCUCUACUGGCUCCCCCUCUGGGUUCUGAUCUCCUGGGCUGCGUGGAGCCCUGUGGGGCGGGAAGAAGUGGGCAGGCAGCGUCUCUGCCUGCAUCCAUCUCCAUCUCCACGACUUGACUACGAUUUUGCCGGGUUCUCAGAUUGCUGGGAUUGGCUAGACGAGCAUGGGUUCAUGUGAUCCCUGUGAGGACUUGGGGUCUUCUGGUCAGCUGUGACUCCCAGGGUCCUCGGGGGACCCUCUGAGAAGUAAUUAGAAAAUUGCAAGGGCCUGCCAGUGGCACUGCCCGUCGCCUGCCUAGGAAGCCGUUCUCAAACAGAGUGUUAGCACACACUCCUGGUAACCCCCAGCUCAGACUGAUCCUCUUCAAGUCACUCAUUCCCUUGGGACUCACUUCCCCCUCCGUCGAAUAGAGCCACUACAGUGGGCUGGUAACCGCCCCGAGAUCCUGGGGGAAGCCAAUAUUGGAUCAUAGCGAUCUUCUCAGAGGCACGUGCAAAGAAUUAACAGCUACCAUUUCUGACCGUUGUGCUAAAUGCUGCAGGUCCAUGCUGGCAUGGGGUGCGCAGAACACCCUAGGAGGUAGGAACAAUUAUCGUCUCCACAAAACAAAGACACCAAGAGUGGCCCAAGGUCACACCAUGGGCGGUGGAGCAGGGUUCAAACCCAAGCAAGCAGAUUUCUGGUUUCAACCUGUGUUGGAAGGAAAAGGAUGGAUCUGGGCUGGGGCAGCUGCUUUGCAGGGCCACACACAGACGAGUAUGAGUCAUGGCACAGCCCCAAAGUGGAAACCAGUGGCAUGUCCAUCCACAGAAGAAGGGACGGCCUGUGGUACAUCAAGCAAUGGAAUACGAUUCAGCCAUAAAAAGGAAGGAACUGUCAACAUAUGACACAGCAUGGAUGGACCACAAACUGAUGAUGCUGAGUGAAAGGACCCAGACCAAAAAUGCACACGCUGAAUAAUUCCAUUGACGUAGAGUCUAGAAAAUGCAAACCGACCUGUGGUGUCAGACAGCAGAUCAGCGGUUGCCUGGUGGUCAUGGGAGAGGGAGGCAGGGGCACCACACAGACUUGGGGGGCAGAGCAGGGGUUGCUAACAGGCACCAAGAAAAUGUUUUGUGGGGUGGAUGUAUCUGCUCUCUUGGUGGUGGUGGUGGUUCCAUGGAGAUAUACAUCUUUCAAAACUAGAUUGUACACUUUGAAUAUGUGCAGUUUAUUAUAAGUUAAUUAUAACUCAAUAAACUGUUUUUAAAAAAGGUGACUUGCUCCAACGUCUCUGCUUAAACAGAGCUGCAGAGCGGCUGAUGACUUAUC
Molecule: long non-coding RNA, 5095 nt
Filed under: Equus asinus (donkey)
Lineage: Eukaryota; Metazoa; Chordata; Mammalia; Perissodactyla; Equidae
Description: lncRNA (ENSEASG00005023959.1)
Source: RNAcentral